RNAcentral lists this ribosomal RNA (316 nucleotides) under uncultured Planctomycetota bacterium. RNAcentral describes it as "bacterial SSU rRNA". It matches the Rfam family "Bacterial small subunit ribosomal RNA", at positions 375 to 708 of the family's 1533-position model. Lineage: Bacteria; Pseudomonadati; Planctomycetota. The record is from RNAcentral.
ACGAAAGUCUGACGCAGCGACGCCGCGUGAGCGAUGAAGGCCUUCGGGUUGUAAAGCUCUGUCAGAGGGGAAGAAAUUUUGACGGUACUUUGGAGGAAGCCCCGGCUAACUACCUGCCACCAGCCGCCGUAAUACGAACUGGGCGAGCGUUAUUCGGAAUUACUGGGCGUAAAGGGUGUGUAGGCGGCUCUGAAGGUCAGGUGUGAAAUCCCACGGCUCAACCGUGGAACUGCGCCUGAAACCACGUAGCUUGAGGAAGUCAGAGGUAAGCGGAACUGAUGGUGGAGCGGUGAAUGCGUUGAUAUCAUCAGGAACA